This 497-nucleotide ribosomal RNA is filed under the name uncultured bacterium. RNAcentral's name for it is "partial 16S ribosomal RNA". It matches the Rfam family "Bacterial small subunit ribosomal RNA", at positions 28 to 507 of the family's 1533-position model. The record is from RNAcentral.
GAUGAACGCUGGCGGCGUGCCUAAUACAUGCAAGUCGAGCGAACAGACCAGGAUCUUGCUCCUCUGACGUUAGCGGCGGACGGGUGAGUAACACGUGGAUAACCUACCUAUAAGACUGGGAUAACUUCGGGAAACCGGAGCUAAUACCGGAUAAUAUAUUGAACCUCAUGGUUCAAUAGUGAAAGACGGUUUUUCUGUCACUUAUAGAUUGAUCCGCGCCGCAUUAGCUAGUUGGUAAGGUAACGGCUUACCAAGGCGGCGAUGGGUAGCCGACCUGAGAGGGUGGACGGGCACCCUGGAAGUGAGGAAGGGUCCCCACAUCUGGGGGGAGACACAGUCGGGAAUCCUACGGGAUGGGGCAAAGGCUGACCGUGCGAAAGCGGCGAAAGGCUGAAGGACCUAGGACGGGUAAACGAUGUUGUUAGGAGAAUAGAAAUGUGUAAGUAACUAUGACCGUAUUGACGGUACCUAGACAGAAAGCCACGGCUAACUACGUG